Molecule: long non-coding RNA, 1700 nt
Organism: Ficedula albicollis (Collared flycatcher)
Lineage: Eukaryota; Metazoa; Chordata; Aves; Passeriformes; Muscicapidae
Exons: 3
Source: RefSeq, a predicted model, not a curated record
GGGCUGAGCAGCACAUCAGGUAUGCGUGACAAACCCUGUGGCUGUCUGUGGGUCAGUGUCUGGAAUGCUUCCCUGCUAAAGGGCUGUACCCAACAGUCACCAGGGCAUUUAGUCCCGAGUGCACCAACACAACUAACUGCAGUUAGGCAGACGAGGAAGGAAAAAUGCUUUAAAAGAGUCUCCUGCGCUUCCAACCUCUGUGCUCGUGCAAUGCCUCGCAGUGUGUCUGCUGCUGCUCUUCCCCCACAGCCUGCUGGUCAUGCUGACCCAACACAGGGCUGGAGCUGGGACUGCCCUGGCAUCUGAGGACCCGAUGGAAAGUAAGGAAUCCUGCAUGCUGUGUGGAACCGGGAGCCUGGACAGGCUGGCUGUGUGGCUGUGCUGCCCAGUAACAGCCUGUGCAGGUGAGGCCUUCUCAGCCAAAGGCUGCUCGGGUGCUGGAAUGUGAUCCCUGCUGGCUAAUCUAGGCACAGCUGCUGCUUGAACAGCUGAGCAGCCGGGCCAGCUGCUCGGGCAGGGCAAUGCCCCUCUGUGGAGUGUUUUAUGGGGAGGCUGAGGGGCUGCCUUGCUGUCAGCAGCACUGCUCAGAGCAGGGCACCCCCAGGGGAGAGGCAGGAGCCCUGCACAGCAGGGCCAUGCAUAAUGGAGGGGUGACUCCUGUCCUGCACCUACCCCAUCGCUCAUGGACAGGAAGGUAAGUGUUUAGGGGCUUGGGUUUGUUUAUUAGGGAAAGCUAAAGGCAAGUCUUGCUGGUGCUUUGCCUUGUCAAGUGAGACUUGGGAUUUUUGUGUUUUGUAGGGUAUUUGGGGAAAAAAGAACAAUUUUUGCCUUGUUUCUUCCUCUGUCACAUAACCUGGCUGAAGCAUCAUGGCCAGGGAAAACGGGACCUCAAAGCCCCCUAUAAACCAGCUGUGAGGCCAUGGUACUACACGGACACUUGUUGGGUGUGAGAAGAACUUCUUUCAGUGGAGCAGGCUGCCCAGGGAAGUAAGUGGUGGAGUCACCAUGCCUGCAGGGUUUUCCUCCAGUCACCCAAGGGAGAUCGGUGCUUUCCCACUGUGCCUGCAGCCAGCUGGAGGUGGCUGUCACACGGUCCUGCAACAGGCCAUGACUUACCUGGAGACAGCUCUGGAGAAGGUGCUGCACCCCGGUACCACAAACUGACUUGGCAAAGAGCCCCACCCAUGGUCACCUACAAACAGAGGCCUGGCAAACAUCCCCGUGGCAGGGAUUCCACACCAACACCCAAACCAGAUCUUUCUGUUAUAAAAACAAGGCUCAUUUUAGAAAAAAACCUGCCAGGCUGCUAAAACCCCGUUCCUUGAGAUGUGUUUUGGGGAAGGGGUAGCACAGCAGAUCGUGCUCGCUAUACUUGGUGUAUUGGCUUUCUCCACUGCAGCCACUGCAAUACAGGUUCAGUUGUAAAAAUCUCACGUAGCCAGACCCAAAAUGCAGAUUUGAAUCAGUAAGUUUACAAGGACUGGACAGUAAGUGUAAAAUUCUAUCCCUGGUACUCCUGUCCCACGAAAUCAUGUAACCAGUCUGGGAAAUUCUGGGUUUCCAUUAUCCUCCAGUUUCAUAACCACAGGAGAAAAGCAAGGUGGGAAAAAGAGCAAUGAAUGCACUCCCCUUUUUGCCAGAGGUAAAAGAAGUAAAUCCUCUUGCCUGAGAAGUAAAUCUUCAGCCUUGCCUGAUGUUUA